UGUUCAUCUAAGGGCAGGAUCUUAUUUC
RNAcentral lists this non-coding RNA (28 nucleotides) under Rattus norvegicus (Norway rat). Lineage: Eukaryota; Metazoa; Chordata; Mammalia; Rodentia; Muridae. The record is from RNAcentral.